This 42-nucleotide ribosomal RNA is filed under the name Siphonostegia chinensis. RNAcentral describes it as "partial 26S ribosomal RNA". Lineage: Eukaryota; Viridiplantae; Streptophyta; Magnoliopsida; Lamiales; Orobanchaceae. RNAcentral also lists the same sequence under 1 other name. The record is from RNAcentral.
GAACGCGACCCCAGGUCAGGCGGGAUCACCCGCUGAGUUUAA